CAUUAGCUAGUUGGUAGGGUAAUGGCCUACCAAGGCGACGAUGGUUAGCUGGUCUGAGAGGAUGAUCAGCCACACUGGAACUGAGACACGGUCCAGACUCCUACGGGAGGCAGCAGUGAGGAAUAUUGCGCAAUGGGGGCAACCCUGACGCAGCAACGCCGCGUGAGUGAGGAAGGUUUUCGGACCGUAAAGCUCUGUCGAGCGGGAAGAAAUGCAUGGUGGCUAAUAUCCAUCAUGCUUGACGGUACCGCUAAAGGAAGCACCGGCUAACUCCGUGCCAGCAGCCGCGGUAAUACGGGGGGUGCGAGCGUUGUUCGGAAUUAUUGGGCGUAAAGAGCGUGUAGGCGGCCGAAUAAGUCAGAUGUGAAAUCCCUGGGCUUAACCCAGGACGUGCAUUUGAAACUAUUCGGCUAGAGUAGGGGAGAGGAAAGUGGAAUUCCUGGUGUAGAGGUGAAAUUCGUAGAUAUCAGGAGGAACACCGGUGGCGAAGGCGACUUUCUGGCCCUAUACUGACGCUGAGACGCGAGAGCGUGGGUAGCAAACAGGAUUAGAUACCCUGGUAGUCCACGCUGUAAACGAUGUUCACUAGGUGUUGGGGGUAUUGACCCUCUCAGUGCCGCAGCUAACGCA
This 630-nucleotide ribosomal RNA is filed under the name uncultured bacterium. RNAcentral describes it as "bacterial SSU rRNA". It matches the Rfam family "Bacterial small subunit ribosomal RNA", at positions 239 to 859 of the family's 1533-position model. The record is from RNAcentral.